GGGUCCACAAAGUCCAGUCAGGCCGGGCGCUUCGUUUACAUCGAAGAUGUCAGAGGUUCAAAUCCUCUAGAGUCCACAA
RNAcentral lists this transfer RNA (79 nucleotides) under Candidatus Levybacteria bacterium RIFCSPHIGHO2_01_FULL_40_16. RNAcentral describes it as "tRNA-Val". The stretch from base 11 to 68 matches the Rfam family "tRNA", at positions 9 to 63 of the family's 71-position model. From Rfam's summary of the family: Transfer RNA (tRNA) molecules are approximately 80 nucleotides in length. Their secondary structure includes four short double-helical elements and three loops (D, anti-codon, and T loops). Lineage: Bacteria; Candidatus Levyibacteriota. The record is from RNAcentral. RNAcentral also lists the same sequence under 2 other names.